AGGCGUCAAUGAACAGUUUCUCGGUGAAAUGAUAAAGCACCCUACUUCUUGAUUAUUAUCAUAAACAUUGACAUUAAACAAGGAUUAGAUACCCUUUUAUUCAAUGCCCCGUCCUUUGCUGAGAACUACAACCCUCCCAAGGUUAAAACUCAAAUAUCAUGGCGGUAAUCUUAGAUCUUAGGGGAACUUACUUAGUAAUUGAUAACCACCAAGGUUAAGCAACUCCUUCAAACUCUUGUAUGCCGUCGUCGUCAGAUAAUACWUGAUGUUUUAUCACAAAAAGAGACUUUAAAAGACAGAUCAAGGUGCAGACAAUGUAGGAGAWAAAGCGAGUUACAAUUAACCCGUUAUGUGGUCAACCUAAUGUAAUGUAUGUUGAACAUAGGACUUAAUAGUAAAUAAUKUCCCUUU
Molecule: ribosomal RNA, 411 nt
Filed under: Posorites conscendens
Lineage: Eukaryota; Metazoa; Mollusca; Gastropoda; Stylommatophora; Camaenidae
Description: partial 12S ribosomal RNA
Source: RNAcentral